CAGCAUGAUAGGGAUAUUUUCUAAUAAGGUCCUUUAACCUCUCCCAUGUUUCAUGGAAUAUUUCUCCAUCUAAUUGGAAAAAACUAGUUAUAAUUUUUCUUAUUUG
This is a small nucleolar RNA of Elaeis guineensis (African oil palm), 106 nucleotides long. The record is from RefSeq and is a predicted model, not a curated record. Lineage: Eukaryota; Viridiplantae; Streptophyta; Magnoliopsida; Arecales; Arecaceae.